AUUGAACGCUGGCGGAAUGCUUUACACAUGCAAGUCGAACGGUAGAGGGGGCAACCCCUCGAGAGUGGCGAACGGGUGAGUAAUAUAUCGGAACGUGCCCAGUCGUAGGGGAUAACGUAGCGAAAGUUACGCUAAUACCGCAUACGAUCUAAGGAUGAAAGCGGGGGAUCGCAAGACCUCGCGCGAUUGGAGCGGCCGAUAUCAGAUUAGGUAGUUGGUGGGGUAAAGGCUCACCAAGCCAACGAUCUGUAGCUGGUCUGAGAGGACGACCAGCCACACUGGAACUGAGACACGGACCAGACUCCUACGGGAGGCAGCAGUGGGGAAUUUUGGACAAUGGACGCAAGUCUGAUCCAGCCAUUCCGCGUGCAGGAUGAAGGCCCUCGGGUUGUAAACUGCUUUUGUACGGAACGAAAAGAUCUCUCUUAAUACGGGGGGCUCAUGACGGUACCGUAAGAAUAGGCACCGGCUAACUACGUGCCAGCAGCCGCAGUAA
Molecule: ribosomal RNA, 496 nt
Filed under: uncultured bacterium
Lineage: Bacteria
Description: partial 16S ribosomal RNA
Rfam family: Bacterial small subunit ribosomal RNA
Source: RNAcentral